Molecule: ribosomal RNA, 322 nt
Filed under: uncultured eukaryote
Lineage: Eukaryota
Description: partial 18S ribosomal RNA
Rfam family: Eukaryotic small subunit ribosomal RNA
Source: RNAcentral
CCCUUAGAUGUCCUGGGCCGCACGCGCGCUACACUGACAUGUUCAACAAGUUUCUCCUAGUUCGACAGGACUGGGAAAUCUUUGAACGCAUGUCGUGAUAGGGAUAGAUCAUUGCAAUUAUUGAUCUUGAACGAGGAAUUCCUAGUAAACGCGAGUCAUCAGCUCGCAUUGAUUACGUCCCUGCCCUUUGUACACACCGCCCGUCGCACCCACCGAUUGAAUGUUUCGGUGAAGAUUCCGGAUAGGACUGAUUUGAUUUAUUUCAUUUCUGACCUAAAAGCUAUCUAAACCUCAACAUUUAGAGGAAGGUGAAGUCGUAACA